GAUGAACGCUGGCGGCGUGCCUAAUACAUGCAAGUCGAGCGAACAGACGAGGAGCUUGCUCCUCUGACGUUAGCGGCGGACGGGUGAGUAACACGUGGAUAACCUACCUAUAAGACUGGGAUAACUUCGGGAAACCGGAGCUAAUACCGGAUAAUAUAUUGAACCGCAUGGUUCGAUAGUGAAAGACGGUUUUGCUGUCACUUAUAGAUGGAUCCGCGCCGCAUUAGCUAGUUGGUAAGGUAACGGCUUACCAAGGCAACGAUGCGUAGCCGACCUGAGAGGGUGAUCGGCCACACUGGGACUGAGACACGGUCCAGACUCCUACGGGAGGCAGCAGUAGGGAAUCUUCCGCAAUGGGCGAAAGCCUGACGGAGCAACGCCGCGUGAGUGAUGAAGGUCUUCGGAUCGUAAAACUCUGUUAUUAGGGAAGAACAAAUGUGUAAGUAACUAUGCACGUCUUGACGGUACCUAAUCAGAAAGCCACGGCUAACUACGUG
This 497-nucleotide ribosomal RNA is filed under the name uncultured bacterium. RNAcentral's name for it is "partial 16S ribosomal RNA". It matches the Rfam family "Bacterial small subunit ribosomal RNA", at positions 28 to 507 of the family's 1533-position model. The record is from RNAcentral.